Molecule: ribosomal RNA, 370 nt
Filed under: uncultured organism
Description: partial 16S ribosomal RNA
Rfam family: Bacterial small subunit ribosomal RNA
Source: RNAcentral
GAACCGUGCUAACGUUAUUCGGAAUCACUGGGCUUAAAGAGUGCGUAGGCGGCCUGGCAGGUUGGGUGUGAAAUCCCUCGGCUCAACCGAGGAACUGCGCUCAAAACCGCCAGGCUUGAGGGAGAUAGAGGUGAGUGGAACUGAUGGUGGAGCGGUGAAAUGCGUUGAUAUCAUCAGGAACACCGGUGGCGAAGGCGGCUCACUGGGUCUCUUCUGACGCUGAGGCACGAAAGCCAGGGGAGCGAACGGGAUUAGAUACCCCGGUAGUCCUGGCUGUAAACGAUGAGCACUGGAUCGAGGGACCUUCCACAAUUUCUCGGUCGUAGCGAAAGUGUUAAGUGCUCCGCCUGGGAGUAUGGUCGCAAGGCUG